ACCUAACCAGAAAGCCACGGCUAACUACGUGCCAGCAGCCGCGGUAAUACGUAGGUGGCAAGCGUUAUCCGGAAUUAUUGGGCGUAAAGCGCGCGCAGGUGGUUUCUUAAGUCUGAUGUGAAAGCCCACGGCUCAACCGUGGAGGGUCAUUGGAAACUGGGAGACUUGAGUGCAGAAGAGGAAAGUGGAAUUCCAUGUGUAGCGGUGAAAUGCGUAGAGAUAUGGAGGAACACCAGUGGCGAAGGCGACUUUCUGGUCUGUAACUGACACUGAGGCGCGAA
Molecule: ribosomal RNA, 281 nt
Filed under: Xanthomonas oryzae pv. oryzae
Lineage: Bacteria; Pseudomonadati; Pseudomonadota; Gammaproteobacteria; Lysobacterales; Lysobacteraceae
Description: partial 16S ribosomal RNA
Rfam family: Bacterial small subunit ribosomal RNA
Source: RNAcentral